Molecule: small nuclear RNA, 109 nt
Organism: Hippopotamus amphibius kiboko
Lineage: Eukaryota; Metazoa; Chordata; Mammalia; Artiodactyla; Hippopotamidae
Source: RefSeq, a predicted model, not a curated record
AUGCUCGCUUCGGCAGCACAUAUACUAAAAUUGGAAUGAUACAGAGAAAUAAAUAGCAUGGCCCCUGUGCAAGGAUGAUAUGCAAAUUCGUGAAGCAUUCUAUAUUUUU